Salvia hispanica is the source of this 370-nucleotide long non-coding RNA. RefSeq lists it as uncharacterized. Lineage: Eukaryota; Viridiplantae; Streptophyta; Magnoliopsida; Lamiales; Lamiaceae. The record is from RefSeq and is a predicted model, not a curated record.
UGAAUCUCCAUUUGUUGCGCCGGUUUGGUCGGGGUUCGCCGGCGGCAUAAUUUCCACCCGUGUGGCCUCCCGUUUCACCCAGCCGUACGCGACGUCGACCGGAGGCGUUGGGCUUUUUUUGAGAAUUGGGUAAUGGGUCUGCCUUGGCAGCGGUCGAUCUCGACCCCACACACCGUGCAAGGUCCUCCAGUAGGUUCCCAGAUCCGUGUCCCCUUGGACAAUCCGGCUGACUCUGUCCUCUAAGUUAUAGAUCAGAUACGGGUCCGACGUACUCUGGUACAUCUCGGCCAAGCUGGGUUUAACGUCUUUUUCCUCUCCUGACAUUUUGCAGGUCUGGGUUGUGAUGAAUUAUUUUCCGAGUCUCUGAUUA